Molecule: RNA transcript, 2259 nt
Organism: Jaculus jaculus (lesser Egyptian jerboa)
Lineage: Eukaryota; Metazoa; Chordata; Mammalia; Rodentia; Dipodidae
Gene: Rbpms
Gene name: RNA binding protein, mRNA processing factor
Exons: 9
Source: RefSeq, a predicted model, not a curated record
GGACCCCGGCGCCCGCGGGAACCCGCGCCCCAACCCUGCGCCCAGCCGUGCCCGGCCAGGGAGCACCGGGAAGAUGAACAACGGCGGCAAAGCCGAGAAGGAGAACACCCCGAGCGAGGCCAACCUGCAGGAGGAAGAGGUCCGGACUCUGUUUGUCAGUGGUCUUCCCCUGGACAUCAAACCGCGGGAGCUCUAUCUGCUCUUCAGACCAUUUAAGGGUUAUGAGGGUUCUCUUAUCAAGCUCACAUCUAAGCAGCCCGUAGGUUUUGUCAGUUUUGACAGUCGCUCUGAAGCAGAAGCUGCAAAGAACGCCUUGAACGGCAUCCGCUUCGAUCCUGAGAUUCCGCAGACACUACGACUAGAGUUUGCUAAGGCAAACACGAAGAUGGCCAAGAACAAGCUCGUCGGGACCCCCAACCCCAGCGCUCCUCUGCCCAACACUGUACCUCAGUUCAUUGCCAGAGAGCCAUAUGAGCUCACAGUGCCUGCACUUUACCCCAGUAGCCCUGAAGUGUGGGCCCCGUACCCUCUGUACCCAGCGGAGUUAGCGCCUGCUCUUCCUCCUCCUGCUUUCACCUAUCCCGCUUCACUGCAUGCCCAGAUGCGCUGGCUCCCUCCCUCAGAGGCUACUUCUCAGGGCUGGAAGUCCCGUCAGUUCUGCUGAACGCUGUGUCCCAGGUGUGUGAUGGCGGCUGCAAUCUGUCUUGUGGGUAUUAGUGCGAUCCUCACUGGUGGCGACUGUUCUCCAGCUGUUCUGCAAAACUGGAGCCUGCUGGCUUGAAAAAACCUUGCCCAGUUUUGAGCCCUUCAAGACUUUGCCACAGCCUCUAUCACACAUCUGUUUUCUUCAAAGAAAAAAAAUAUAAUAAAAAUGUUUUACUCUUUUACACUGUAUAGUUUUAAGAAAUAGUGUGUUAUCUGUGAAUGCAUGGUCUGACAUUUCUGUAGUUUGGAGAUAUUUUCAAAUGAAACAAAGGAAGUCAACAGGAAAACCAAGCGAGUAUUUUUAUACCAAACGUUUUAAGUAUGACAGGGUGGAAUCUUACACUGGGUUGGAUCACAACUUUUGUGCUUGAGUUUUGAAUGCUUGUAACGAAAUAUAUUUUUUCUUUAAAAUAAACUGCAUGUUUGAGGCAUGUUCUAAAUAGUGUGGAAAUUCCAGAAUUGUAUUGUGAAAGUGUAGAUCUGUCUGCCUGGCCAGUCCUGGGCAUAUUAAUUACAAACUGAAUUGGUCUCUGUGGCACUAGGCUGCAAUCCUAGUUCCCAUAGGCUAACCUUGCACGACAAUCAAAGCUGCCAUUUGGGAAAAGAAAAUUUUGGCAACAUCUCGAGUGUGCCCUUCAAAGUCACGGCAGCUCCAGCCAUGACUGUAUAAACUGUGCCUGGUGUUUGUUAGAUUUUGCUGUUUUAUAUUUAUCAUUUACAAUAGAUAGCAUGCUCUGUGUGUAAGUGACUUGGUAUAUCUCACCUUCCAUAAACCAUUCCUACUUCCCAGUGGAACUGUAGGGUUGGCCUCACUAAGGGAAGACCGUGGCAUGCGGUCGACAUGGCCUCAGGAGGAACUGGCUUCACCUGACUUGGCUACACAGUAGGCAUUUGUUCCCCAAGUGAUUUUGCAAGGCUUUGGCUCAGCGAAGCUGGCGUUCUAAGUUGGCAGCCAUGUCAAAUAGCACCCAGCAGGUGCUCUGGAAUCCUGUAUGCUCAUAGUGAGGCGACCCACUGCAUUGCACCUUCAAGACGUCUUCAAAGCCAGCAGUCAGUCUUGUGCUGUAGGCUGCCACCCUUCCCCUCCUCCCCCAUGUGCGAGCCAUAUGUAUGAGGAUGCCCACCUCGGAAUGUCCAACAGCUAAUGAUAUAGCUGGAUGUGGUCACAGUCUUUGUUACUGCUCUGCUCAAGUUGUAUUUUUUGAAAACGUCAAUGUUUUAAUAAUUUCAUGGUUUGUUUAAAGGUUUUGUUUCAUUAUUUUUCAUUGGAAAUAAAAAUGUCAAAUUUUUAAAGGUCAUUUUACACAUACACAGGCCUGAAGUGAGGGGCUCUUUCUCAUCAUAAGAGGGAAGAAACUUGGAGACUUCUGUCACAUUCACAUCAGUGAUCAGGGCCCUGCCCAUGCCCUCAGCGUCACUCGCUCUUGGUGAGACUCCUCUACUUGCUCCUAAGGCAAACAGAGCCACUUCAUAGUCAAUUAUGCUUUUAUAAACUGUUUAAAGGUACUUUUCUAUUGUCAUUUUUUAAAAAUAAAGUGUUUAUUCCAGCUAUCA